AAAUAAUGCAUGUAUCAACACACACUCUCACAAAAUGAAAUCCAAUGGUUUUACUUUGAUCUUCAUUGUUUUGUUUUCACUUGUCCUUAUUUCUUCUUCUGGGAGAAUCCAUCAUGUGAUGGCCAUUCGUUCACCAAACGGUCCAAACCAGAAACCAAAAGGAGAGGCAAAAGUUGAAGAAGAAAAGGUUGCACAUACGGAUAGUACGUGGGGUGGAUGUUAUGGUUGCUGGCCGCAUCAUAACAAUCGUCGUCUUUGAUAAACUCGAUCUAUGGUUUUGUCGAUCCAUCUGUGUUAGCUAUGCUAUGCAUGUACUGACAAUAAUUUGAAUAAAGUAUGAAAUAAAUUUCGAUUGGUGUUCUUAAAAAUAUUAUGGAA
Molecule: long non-coding RNA, 378 nt
Organism: Helianthus annuus (common sunflower)
Lineage: Eukaryota; Viridiplantae; Streptophyta; Magnoliopsida; Asterales; Asteraceae
Exons: 2
Source: RefSeq, a predicted model, not a curated record